GUCAACGGCCAUACCACUCUGAACGUGCCCGAUCUUGUCUGAUCUCAGAAGCUAAGCAGGGUCAGGCCUGGUUAGUACUUGGAUGGGAGAAAUGUUGGUU
This 100-nucleotide ribosomal RNA is filed under the name Fukomys damarensis (Damara mole-rat). Lineage: Eukaryota; Metazoa; Chordata; Mammalia; Rodentia; Bathyergidae. The record is from RNAcentral.